GAUGAACGCUAGCUACAGGCUUAACACAUGCAAGUCGAGGGGAAACGACAUCGUAAGCUUGCUUUUGAUGGGCGUCGACCGGCGCACGGGUGAGUAACGCGUAUCCCACCUGCCCAUCACUUGGGGAUAACCUUGCGAAAGUAAGACUAAUACCCAAUGAUAUCUCUAGAAGACAUCUGAAAGAGAUUAAAGAUUUAUCGGUGAUGGAUGGGGAUGCGUCUGAUUAGAUUGUUGGCGGGGUAACGGCCCACCAAGGCAACGAUCAGUAGGGGUUCUGAGAGGGGGACGGGUAAAAGUGGGACUGAAAGACGGCACAGACGAGUAAGGGAGGCAGCAGAGGGGAAUAUUGCAGGAUGGGGUGAAGUAUGAUGAAGUAAUGCUGCGUGCGGGAUGAUGGAUGUAGGGGUGUAAAGAGGAUUAGCAGGUUAUGUAGGGUGAGGGACGGGAAUGGGUAAAGAAGGAACGGCUAACUACGUG
RNAcentral lists this ribosomal RNA (477 nucleotides) under uncultured bacterium. Its description in RNAcentral is "partial 16S ribosomal RNA". It matches the Rfam family "Bacterial small subunit ribosomal RNA", at positions 28 to 507 of the family's 1533-position model. The record is from RNAcentral.